This 387-nucleotide long non-coding RNA is filed under the name Pan troglodytes (chimpanzee). RNAcentral's name for it is "long non-coding RNA NONPTRT017273". Lineage: Eukaryota; Metazoa; Chordata; Mammalia; Primates; Hominidae. The record is from RNAcentral.
CGGCUAUUGAGACCAAGCAGAGCUGGCCUUGGAGCCCACGUUUGCUGCAUUUCAGGUUCAGGCCUCUCUCCCUGUUUCCCUGCGGAAGCUUGACCCUCUUGUCUUCCUGGGGACAUUCACUUAGGUGGAUGGGUGCCUGAUGGACAAGGGCAUGGCCAGAAGGAUGAUUGGAAGAACGGAUGCAUGUGUGGAUGGAUGGAAGGAGGAAGGUGUAGAUGGGCGGGUGGAUGGAAGGAGGAAGGUGUAGACGGGUGGGUGGAUGGAAGGAGAAAGGUGUAGAUGGGCGGGUGGAUGGAAGGAGAAAGGCAUAGAUGGGCGGGUGGAUGGAAGGAGGAAGGUGUAGACGGGUGGGUGGAUGGAAGGAGAAAGGCAUAGAUGGGCGGGUGG